RNAcentral lists this ribosomal RNA (439 nucleotides) under uncultured bacterium. RNAcentral describes it as "partial 16S ribosomal RNA". It matches the Rfam family "Bacterial small subunit ribosomal RNA", at positions 339 to 795 of the family's 1533-position model. The record is from RNAcentral.
CUACGGGGGGCUGCAGUGGGGAAUAUUGGACAAUGGGGGAAACCCUGAUCCAGCGACGCCGCGUGAGUGAAGAAGUAUUUCGGUAUGUAAAGCUCUAUCAGCAGGGAAGAAAAUGACGGUACCUGACUAAGAAGCCCCGGCUAACUACGUGCCAGCAGCCGCGGUAAUACGUAGGGGGCAAGCGUUAUCCGGAUUUACUGGGUGUAAAGGGAGCGUAGACGGUAAGGCAAGUCUGAAGUGAAAUCCCGGGGCUCAACCCCGGAACUGCUUUGGAAACUGUCAGACUAGAGUGCAGGAGGGGUAAGUGGAAUUCCUAGUGUAGCGGUGAAAUGCGUAGAUAUUAGGAGGAACACCGGUGGCGAAGGCGGCUUACUGGACUGUAACUGACGUUGAGGCUCGAAGGCGUGGGGAGCAAACAGGAUUAGAUACCCCCGUAGUC